This 470-nucleotide long non-coding RNA is filed under the name Ananas comosus (pineapple). RNAcentral's name for it is "long non-coding RNA (ACOM_LNC034705)". Lineage: Eukaryota; Viridiplantae; Streptophyta; Magnoliopsida; Poales; Bromeliaceae. The record is from RNAcentral.
CGAGUGAUUUUGGACGCGUGAGAAUGAAUUCUGGAGAUAAAUAAGUGUUUCGGCGCAAAUUGGGCACGAAACAAAAAGUAAAGAAAAUUUGCGGAUUUCCGACGCUAACUUUGAUUAAAAGAAUUAAAGUGAGCAAAGUAAUAUAAAAUGGUGUGAGAUACCAUUUGAUUGGACUAAAGGGUGUAAAAUGUAAGUCUGGAAUGACUCGUGUUGAAAUCGGAGAGAGAACAGAAGAUUUGAAAUUUUCUGUAAAGAACGGGACUGAGAAAUUAGCAGAAAAUGCACAGUGUCAGAAAAUUAUGAAAAUUGGCGAAGAUGUCAGGAACAUUUGUAUGAGGCUAGAUUUAAAGUUUCACAUUAUUCUGACACCUGUAGAGAGAGAAAUAGAAUCCGAAAGCUAUCGGAUAAAGAUUGCAGUUCAGUACAGUUCACGGUGACCAAAUGGGGUCGGAACUGAAAUGUUAAAAUUU